AGACCAAAAAUUUCUGCAUAGUCCACUUUUCUAUAAUAUCCGCUGUAUUUCUGCAAUCACCAAUUAAAUGCGACGAACGUAAGUAGGGGCUCUUACACUGUAAUAAUUGCUAUCGUUAAACGCUAUUUAAAGGGUGGGGCCAAAUGAACAUCGGGUCUAAGAAAAGUCGACUACCAUAGCGGCAAAUUACGCGCGUAAUGAGAACGAAUGAGUUCACGGUUCGAAAGACUCGUUAACAUCGAGUUCGAAUUGAAGAUUGUCCUUAUGGAAAGCGAUACAAGAGCAAAACUUCUCAGUUAAAGAAAUUACCAGCGUUUUUGUGCGCAUUUUUAAACUUACAAUUCAAGAAUUUACGAAAAUGGAUUUUAUUAUAACGUUUUUAAUUAACAAAUGCGUUUUUAAUUCAGCGUAAUUAACAUAAUAUAAAAAAUUUAUUAAAUUUGAUAUUAUUUUCUUUAGACAUUGCAUGUACUUUUCUACAACUUUAUAUCUUAUUGUUAGUGCUAUAAACUUGAAUAAGGCACGCUUUCAGUUACAAACUUAUGUCGAAAUCAAAAUUCAAACAGUUUUGGAAAAAUAAGGCCAGCAGCACAUAAAUACGUAAUAAAAUCUUGUCUUUAAAUAAGUUCAUUACAGACUUUAUUCCAACAAAAAUUGGAUUUGAAGAUUACCUGCCAAAAUAUUUAAUUAAGAGCUUGUAAAAGUAAUGGUACAGUUUCCGAGAGCUGGUGUAUAUACGUAACUCUGCAACUGGUCGAUAAGAUGGAAUCUGCCUGUUAACAGGAUUUCAAGCAGAAAGGGAAGGGUUUUGGUCUGGCCACUUGCCGUGGAAACUUUUUGUUCGUGACAAAGCUAUGCCGCAAGCUAGGUCAAGAUUCUCCGAAGGCAGAGCGCUCAUGGAAACUAUGUUAAAUUGUUUUUCCGUUGUUAAGUAACCAGGUGAGAAUUUCCAACUCUACUCUUGCAAAAUUCGUAACAAAUAUAUGCAUUGUUCUUUAAUAAUAGAUUUUAUUAUAACGUUUUUCAUAUAACACAUAAUUUUUCAUAUAACAAAAUAAUGUGCAAUAAAGAGAUCUACAAAAUAUUUUGUAUUGAAUUUUACAUUUAAAAAGAACUAUAUCUUUCAAACAUCCGAUACACUUUUCAAAUUCUAGUACAUCUAUUGUCAUAAGUAUUAUCAUAUAUAGAAUCAUAUAGAAUAUAUAAAAAUUUAUCAAGUUUUUUCUGACAAUAAGACAAAAGUUAAUAA
This is a long non-coding RNA of Ooceraea biroi (clonal raider ant), 1249 nucleotides long. RefSeq lists it as uncharacterized. Lineage: Eukaryota; Metazoa; Arthropoda; Insecta; Hymenoptera; Formicidae. The record is from RefSeq and is a predicted model, not a curated record.